This 76-nucleotide transfer RNA is filed under the name Opitutaceae bacterium TAV1. RNAcentral describes it as "tRNA-Ala". It matches the Rfam family "tRNA". Rfam says of the family: Transfer RNA (tRNA) molecules are approximately 80 nucleotides in length. Their secondary structure includes four short double-helical elements and three loops (D, anti-codon, and T loops). The record is from RNAcentral. Lineage: Bacteria; Pseudomonadati; Verrucomicrobiota; Opitutia; Opitutales; Opitutaceae. RNAcentral also lists the same sequence under 4 other names.
GGGGUCGUAGCUCAGUUGGUAGAGCACCUGCUUUGCAAGCAGGACGUCACCGGUUCGAGUCCGGUCGGCUCCACCA